AGUAAUACAUAAGUAACCUGCCCUAGACAGGGGGAUAACUAUUGGAAACGAUAGCUAAGACCGCAUAGGUACGGACACUGCAUGGUGACCGUAUUAAAAGUGCCUCAAAGCACUGGUAGAGGAUGGACUUAUGGCGCAUUAGCUGGUUGGCGGGGUAACGGCCCACCAAGGCGACGAUGCGUAGCCGACCCGAGAGGGUGACCGGCCACACUGGGACUGAGACACGGCCCAG
Molecule: ribosomal RNA, 232 nt
Filed under: uncultured bacterium
Lineage: Bacteria
Description: partial 16S ribosomal RNA
Rfam family: Bacterial small subunit ribosomal RNA
Source: RNAcentral